GGAAUGGUGGCUCAGCUGGUAAAGUGUUUGCCUUGCAAGCACAAGGACCUGAGUUCAAUCCCCAGCAAUCCA
Molecule: transfer RNA, 72 nt
Filed under: Neotoma lepida (desert woodrat)
Lineage: Eukaryota; Metazoa; Chordata; Mammalia; Rodentia; Cricetidae
Rfam family: tRNA
About the family: Transfer RNA (tRNA) molecules are approximately 80 nucleotides in length. Their secondary structure includes four short double-helical elements and three loops (D, anti-codon, and T loops). Further hydrogen bonds mediate the characteristic L-shaped molecular structure. tRNAs have two regions of fundamental functional importance: the anti-codon, which is responsible for specific mRNA codon recognition, and the 3' end, to which the tRNAs corresponding amino acid is attached (by aminoacyl-tRNA synthetases). tRNAs cope with the degeneracy of the genetic code in two manners: having more than one tRNA (with a specific anti-codon) for a particular amino acid; and 'wobble' base-pairing, i.e. permitting non-standard base-pairing at the 3rd anti-codon position.
Source: Rfam by way of RNAcentral